GAUGAACGCUGGCGGCGUGCCUAAUACAUGCCAGUCGAGCGAACGGACGAGAAGCUUGCUUCUCUGAUGUUAGCGGCGGACGGGUGAGUAACACGUGGAUAACCUACCUAUAAGACUGGGAUAACUUCGGGAAACCGGAGCUAAUACCGGAUGAUAUUUUGAACCGCAUGGUUCAAAAGUGAAAGACGGUCUUGCUGUCACUUAUAGAUGGAUCCGCGCUGCAUUAGCUAGUUGGUAAGGUAACGGCUUACCAAGGCAACGAUGCAUAGCCGACCUGAGAGGGUGAUCAGCCACACUGGAACUGAGACACGGUCCAGACUCCUACGGGAGGCAGCAGUAGGGAAUAUUCCGCAAUGGGCGAAAGCCUGACGGAGCAACGCCGCGUGAGUGAUGAAGGUCUUCGGAUCGUAAAACUCUGUUAUUAGGGAAGAACAUAUGUGUAAGUAACUGUGCACAUCUUGACGGUACCUACUCAGAAAGCCACGGCUAACUACGUG
Molecule: ribosomal RNA, 497 nt
Filed under: uncultured bacterium
Lineage: Bacteria
Description: partial 16S ribosomal RNA
Rfam family: Bacterial small subunit ribosomal RNA
Source: RNAcentral